CUUGAUUCUACUUGAAGGAUGAAAAUUUUCUUCCAAUAAGAUGACUUUACCCUAUUUCUUGUGAAGUGAUCUUUCUUGAUCUGCUUUGUAUUUUAAACCAGGCUCACACCCCUUUAUUAACUGAAGCUGACUUAACCCGAACUAUCUGAAGCUGACUCAACCCGAACUAUCCGAGAUCACACGUAAAUGUUUUCCUUCUGAUCUCAACUUUUCUCCUUAUCGUGGGGCAUGGAAAGGAGGAGAUCGCAGCAGGGAAGUUUUUGUUCUUGUUCACAUGCUAACAAUGACUAUCGAUUUACAGCAAUGGAUUGGUCAAGGAAGGAUAAAGAAACU
Molecule: long non-coding RNA, 333 nt
Filed under: Homo sapiens (human)
Lineage: Eukaryota; Metazoa; Chordata; Mammalia; Primates; Hominidae
Description: non-protein coding lnc-ZFP42-2:4
Source: RNAcentral